GACGAACGCUGGCGGCGUGCUUAACACAUGCAAGUCGAACGAAGAGCGACGGAAGCUUGCUUCUAUCAAUCUUAGUGGCGCACGGGUGAGUAACGCGUAAUCAACCUGCCCUUCAGAGGGGGACAACAGUUGGAAACAACUGCUAAUACCGCAUACGAUCUAACCUCGGCAUCGAGGAUAGAUGAAAGGUGGCCUCUACAUGUAAGCUAUCACUGCAGGAGGGGAUUGCGUCUGAUUAGCUAGUUGGAGGGGUAACGGCCCACCAAGGCGAUGAUCAGUAGCCGGUCUGAGAGGAUGAACGGCCACAUUGGGACUGAGACACGGCCCAGACUCCUACGGGAGGCAGCAGUGGGGAAUCUUCCGCAAGGGACGAAAGUCUGACGGAGCAACGCCGCGUGAGUGAUGACGGCCUUCGGGUUGUAAAGCUCUGUUAAUCGGGACGAAAGGCCUUCUUGCGAAUAGUGAGAAGGAUUGACGGUACCGGAAGAGAAAGCCACGGCUAACUACGUG
Molecule: ribosomal RNA, 510 nt
Filed under: uncultured bacterium
Lineage: Bacteria
Description: partial 16S ribosomal RNA
Rfam family: Bacterial small subunit ribosomal RNA
Source: RNAcentral